CCUACGGGUGGCAGCAGUAGGGAAUCUUCCGCAAUGGACGAAAGUCUGACGGAGCAACGCCGCGUGAGUGAAGAAGGAUUUCGGUUCGUAAAGCUCUGUUGUUAGGGAAGAAAGGUUGUGUAGUAACUAUACACAAAACAGACGGUACCUAACCAGAAAGCCACGGCUAACUACGUGCCAGCAGCCGCGGUAAUACGUAGGUGGCAAGCGUUGUCCGGAAUUAUUGGGCGUAAAGCGCGCGCAGGUGGUUUAGAAAGUCUGAUGUGAAAGCCCACGGCUCAACCGUGGAAGGUCAUUGGAAACUGAUAAACUUGAGUGCAGGAGAGAAAAGUGGAAUUCCUAGUGUAGCGGUGAAAUGCGUAGAGAUUAGGAGGAACACCAGUGGCGAAGGCGGCUUUUUGGCCUGUAACUGACACUGAGGCGCGAAAGCGUGGGGAGCAAACAGGAUUAGAUACCCUAGUAGUC
RNAcentral lists this ribosomal RNA (465 nucleotides) under uncultured Staphylococcaceae bacterium. RNAcentral's name for it is "bacterial SSU rRNA". It matches the Rfam family "Bacterial small subunit ribosomal RNA", at positions 338 to 795 of the family's 1533-position model. The record is from RNAcentral. Lineage: Bacteria; Bacillati; Bacillota; Bacilli; Caryophanales; Staphylococcaceae.